AAAGACCAGUAACUGGCACAUUCGAAGAAAAGGAAUUUCAUAAUUAAAACGGAUGUUGCAGUUAUUCCGAAAGAGACCUAUGAGACCUAUAACGCAUAUCUAAAACAUAUCAAUAAAAUGGACUUUAUCUGAAACAA
Musca vetustissima is the source of this 137-nucleotide long non-coding RNA. RefSeq lists it as uncharacterized. Lineage: Eukaryota; Metazoa; Arthropoda; Insecta; Diptera; Muscidae. The transcript is spliced from 2 exons. The record is from RefSeq and is a predicted model, not a curated record.